Molecule: non-coding RNA, 135 nt
Organism: Triticum aestivum (bread wheat)
Lineage: Eukaryota; Viridiplantae; Streptophyta; Magnoliopsida; Poales; Poaceae
Source: Rfam
CAACUACUCCCUCUGUCCCAAAUUUCUUGUCUUAGAUUUGUCUAGAUACGGAUGUAUCUAAUACUAAAAUGUGACUUGAUACAUCCGUAUCUAGACAAAUCUAAGACAAGAAUUUUAGGACGGAGGGAGUACUUU